GGAAGGGGCAGGAGGUUGUGCGAGGGACAGAAACAGUAAGACAUUAAUACAAGGGACAGCCAGGGUUAGACAGCUAUGCUAGGGACAGGAAAGGGUGAGCUGGAAAUGCAGAAGGAAAGUAGAAGAAGGAGAGAAAGAGACAAAGCUGUGUGGAGCUACUAAUGGGAUUACAGCAUAGAAAAGGUACAGUAAAAAGGGAUAGUCACCCCCACAGUAUCCUCAGAUGGAUUAUAACCAGGGGAGUCUGGAACAAUGUCAAAUCCACAGAAGAACAGGAAGAGAAUUUAGGAGAAGAAUAGCUGCCUUCCUAUGUGUAACUAAUAAGGAUAUACACUUUUAUGGCAAACAAAUUGGUGCAUUACUUGACAGUAUAAGCAAGCUACUAUUACUCUUAAAAAUACAGAACUAAAAUUACUGAGACUAUGGAAAUAUAUUUGUUUUUAUUCAAACAUUAGGACAUUUUAACUUAAACAAUCAGCCUUUAAAACCUUUAUUUGGAAAAUGCUGAAUGAAUAUAAGCUUUAUUAAAAUUUUUUUUGGUUUACACAGUUAUAGAAAGGAGUGAUUAACAACUCUUUGAUGAAUUGGACUCUGUUUAGCUUAUGUUUAGA
Hirundo rustica (Barn swallow) is the source of this 611-nucleotide long non-coding RNA. RefSeq lists it as uncharacterized. The transcript has 3 exons. NCBI's taxonomy places the organism in Eukaryota, Metazoa, Chordata, Aves, Passeriformes, Hirundinidae. The record is from RefSeq and is a predicted model, not a curated record.